This 736-nucleotide long non-coding RNA is filed under the name Zostera marina. RNAcentral's name for it is "long non-coding RNA (ZMAR_LNC000515)". Lineage: Eukaryota; Viridiplantae; Streptophyta; Magnoliopsida; Alismatales; Zosteraceae. The record is from RNAcentral.
UUCAAUUAUAAUCUAUCUUAAAAAAAUCUAUACAGAAUUUAGUAAGAGGUCGGUCUCGCGAUUCAUUCAUAUACAUAAGAAGAUCGAAGACGAAGAAGAGGAGGAAUAUUUAACAAAAUGAAAACCAUAACGUUUAUCAUGGCUUUCUUUUUAGUUUCUCAAAUUUUGAUCCCUGUUUCUGAAUCAAGAAUCGUCGUGGGAUUUAAACCCGAAGCAUCAGUUCCAGGUAAUUUCGUUUUCGAUUAGGAUUAAGGUUAAAAGUUACAUUUAUCUUUAACAUAAAAUGACGAAUCAGGACUAGAUGUAUCGGGAAUAAAAAGGGAAGACGAAAAUGUCAAACAAGAUUCAAAAUUAACGGAGAAAGUGGAUAUGCCUUUUCCACCUCGUGGGUUCUUAGUUCACACCUAAAUAUAUACUUGUUCAUUUCUUCUAUAUAUACUUGACCACACCUACACAGGUUGCCAAAAUGUAUCAUAUCUGAUGUCUUGCUAUUAUUUUAAGGUAUCAUAAAUAAUAUAUUAUCUGAGAUAUUAAUCAAUCUAGACCGUUUGAUCAUUUGAAAUAAAUUAAGAUAUAAUUUAUUUUAUUUAAAAUAAAUUACAUCAUAUCUAUAAAUUAUAAUAAAAAGUUAAAUAACAAAUAUUUCACUUUUCGAUGGGAUUUAAUAAAUUUGUAAAUAAUAAUUAUAAAACUAAUAAAAUAUUUAUCAGGUAGUAUAAAGUUUACAUUGCUUAAA